RNAcentral lists this ribosomal RNA (2915 nucleotides) under Peptostreptococcaceae bacterium oral taxon 081. RNAcentral describes it as "23S ribosomal RNA". It matches the Rfam family "Bacterial large subunit ribosomal RNA". The record is from RNAcentral. Lineage: Bacteria; Bacillati; Bacillota; Clostridia; Peptostreptococcales; Peptostreptococcaceae.
AGGUUAAGGAAGAAAGAGCAUAAGGUGAAUGCCUUGGUGAUUAGAGCCGAAGAAGGACGUGGCAAGCUGCGAAAAGCUAUGAUAAGGAGCAAACAUCCGUUACAGUCAUAGAUCUCCGAAUGAGGAAACUCACUUAAUAGAGAUAUUAAGUAUCCAUUACUGAAUAAAUAGGUAAUAGGAAGGGAACCCGCCGAACUGAAACAUCUAAGUAGGUGGAGGAAAAGAAAGAAACAUCGAUUCCCAAAGUAGCGGCGAGCGAAAUGGGAGGAGCCCAAACCAUAUAAGGAAACUUAAAUGGGGUAAGGACUAUCAACAAAGUGACGAGGUAUUGAAGAAGAAGUAGUCUGGGAAGCUACACCAAAGACGGUAAAAGUCCGGUAUUUAAAACAAGAAGACGCACGAGAUAGUACCAGAGUAUCGUAGGACACGAGGAACCCUGCGAGAAGAAAGGGGGACCACCCCCAAAGGCUAAAUACUACUAAUCAACCGAUAGAGAAAAGUACCGUGAGGGAAAGGUGAAAAGAACCCCGGGAGGGGAGUGAAAGAGAACCUGAAACCAUAUGCUUACAAACAGAUGGAGCGAUAAGUGACAUCGUACUUUUUGUAGAACGGGCCAACGAGUUAUGCUGUAAAGCAAGGAAAAGAAAUUAAGUUUCAAAUCCAAAGCGAAAGCGAGUCUGAAAAGGGCGAUAAGUUAUACAGCAUAGACCCGAAACCGGGCGACCUACCCAUGAGCAGGUUGAAGUUUCAGUAACAUGAAAUGGAGGACCGAACCCACGAACGUUGAAAAGUUCGGGGAUGACUUGUGGGUAGAGGUGAAAUUCCAAUCGAGCUCGGAGAUAGCUGGUUCUCUUCGAAAUAGCUUUAGGGCUAGCGUCUUUAGAAAAGUAUAUUGGGGGUAGAGCACUGAAUGCUCUAGGGGCCGUAUAGGUUACCGAAAGCUAUCAAACUGCGAAUACCAAUAUAUGAUAAAAGGCAGUCAGACUAUGAGUGAUAAGAUCCAUAGUCAAGAGGGAAAAAGCCCAGACCAACAGCUAAGGUCCCCAAAUGUAUGUUAAGUGGAAAAGGAUGUGAAAUUGCACAGACAACCAGGAUGUUGGCUUAGAAGCAGCCAUACAUUAAAAGAGUGCGUAAUAGCUCACUGGUCGAGUGGUUUUGCGCCGAAAAUUACCGGGGCUCAAACAUACUACCGAAGCUUUGGAUUCACGCAAGACGUGAGUGGUAGAAGAGCAUCGUAUGAUAGGACGAAGCAGAAUCGAAAGAGACUGUGGACAAGAUACGAGAGAGAAUGUUGGCAUGAGUAGCGAGAUGUGUGUGAGAAUCACACAGGCCGAAAACCCAAGGAUUCCUGAGGAAGGUUCGUCCGCUCAGGGUAAGUCGGGGCCUAAGGCGAGGCAGAGAUGCGUAGCUGAUGGAUAACAGGUUAAGAUUCCUGUACCUACGAGUAUCGCCAAAGAGGAGAAGGAAUGACGCAGGAGGAUAGUUAAAGCGUGCGAUUGGAAGAGCACGUCCAAGCAGCAAGUUAGAGUAUAAAGGCAAAUCCGUAUGCUUGAUAAUAUGAGCUGUGAAGGGGAGCGAAUAAAGUAGCGAAGUUAAUGAUUUCACACUGACAGGAAAAGUUUCUAUCCAGAUACAAGUAGCCCGUACCGAAAACCGACACAGGUGGGUAAGGUGAGAAACCUAAGGCCAGCGAGAGAACUGUUGUUAAGGAACUCGGCAAAAUGACCCCGUAACUUAGGGAGAAGGGGUGCCUACGAGAGUAGGCCACAGAAAAAAGGCCCAAGCGACUGUUUACCAAAAACAUAGGUCUCUGCGAAACCGAAAGGUGAAGUAUAGGGGCUGACGCCUGCCCGGUGCUGGAAGGUUAAGAGGAGAGUUUAGAGAAAUCGAAGAUUUGAAUUUAAGCCCCAGUAAACGGCGGCCGUAACUAUAACGGUCCUAAGGUAGCGAAAUUCCUUGUCGGGUAAGUUCCGACCCGCACGAAAGGCGUAACGAUUUGGGCACUGUCUCAACAACAGACUCGGUGAAAUUGUAGUACCGGUGAAGAUGCCGGAAACCUGCGACAGGACGGAAAGACCCCAUGGAGCUUUACUGUAGCUUAGUAUUGAAUUUAUGUAAUUAAUGUACAGAAUAGGUGGGAGGCAGAGAAUGUAGGUCGUCAGAUUUACAGGAGCCAACUUUGGGAUACCACCCUUUGAUUAUGUGAGUUCUAACCGGAACCUUUGAAGCAAGGUACGGGACAGUGCUUGGCGGACAGUUUGACUGGGGCGGUCGCCUCCCAAAGAGUAACGGAGGCGUCCAAAGGUUCCCUCAGCAUGGUCGGAAAUCAUGCGAAGAGUGCAAAGGCAAAAGGGAGCUUGAUUGCGAGACCAACAAGUCGAGCAAAGACGAAAGUCGGGCUUAGUGAUCCGGUGGUAGAAAGUGGAAUUGCCAUCGCUCAACGGAUAAAAGCUACCCUGGGGAUAACAGGCUGAUCUCCCCCAAGAGUUCACAUCGACGGGGAGGUUUGGCACCUCGAUGUCGGCUCAUCACAUCCUGGGGCUGGAGUAGGUCCCAAGGGUUGGGCUGUUCGCCCAUUAAAGUGGUACGCGAGCUGGGUUCAGAACGUCGUGAGACAGUUCGGUCCCUAUCCGUCGCAGGCGUAGGAUAUUUGAGAGGAGCUAUCCUUAGUACGAGAGGACCGGGAUGGACGCACCACUGGUGUACCAGUUGUCUUGCCAAAGGCACAGCUGGGUAGCUAUGUGCGGAACGGAUAAGUGCUGAAGGCAUCUAAGCACGAAGCCAACCUCAAGAUAAGAUAUCCCAUUCGAAAGAAGUAAGACCCCAUUAAGAGUAAGUGGUAGAUAGGCAAGGAGUGUAAGUGCAGUAAUGUAUUAAGCUAACUUGUACUAAUAGGUCGAGGACUUAACCUAAUA